This 75-nucleotide ribosomal RNA is filed under the name Psychromonas algarum. Its description in RNAcentral is "Psychromonas sp. RZ22 partial 23S ribosomal RNA". Lineage: Bacteria; Pseudomonadati; Pseudomonadota; Gammaproteobacteria; Alteromonadales; Psychromonadaceae. The record is from RNAcentral.
GUGUAAGUGCAGUAAUGUAUUGAGCUAACUUGUACUAAUUACCCGUGAGGCUUAACCAUACAACACCUAAGUAGU